RNAcentral lists this ribosomal RNA (645 nucleotides) under uncultured bacterium. RNAcentral's name for it is "bacterial SSU rRNA". It matches the Rfam family "Bacterial small subunit ribosomal RNA", at positions 110 to 753 of the family's 1533-position model. The record is from RNAcentral.
GUAACACGUAUGCAACCUACCCUUUACUGGGGCAUAGCUCAGAGAAAUCUGAAUUAAUUCCCCAUAAUACAAUUGAAUGGCAUCAUUUGAUUAUUAAAGCUGAGGCGGUAAAGGAUGGGCAUGCGUUGCAUUAGCUAGUUGGUGAGGUAAUGGCUCACCAAGGCUACGAUGCAUAGGGGUUCUGAGAGGAUGAUCCCCCACACUGGUACUGAGACACGGACCAGACUCCUACGGGAGGCAGCAGUAGGGAAUAUUGGUCAAUGGACGCAAGUCUGAACCAGCCAUGCCGCGUGCAGGAAGACGGCCCUCUGGGUUGUAAACUGCUUUUAUAUGGGAAGAAACCUCAUUAUGCGUAAUGAACUGACGGUACCAUAUGAAUAAGGAUCGGCUAACUUCGUGCCAGCAGCCGCGGUAAGACGAAGGAUCCAAGCGUUGUCCGGAUUUACUGGGUUUAAAGGGUGCGUAGGCGGAAUUUUAAGUCAGUGGUGAAAGCCCUUCGCUCAACGAAGGAACUGCCAUUGAAACUGAAAUUCUUGAAUACGGUUGAGGUAGGUGGAAUAUAACAUGUAGCGGUGAAAUGCUUAGAUAUGUUAUAGAACACCGAUUGCGAAGGCAGUCUACUAAGCCGUGAUUGACGCUGAGACA